GUGGAGGGGUUGGAGAUGUUGGCUUUGUGAUUUCGGCAGGAUUUGGACCAUCAGCGGACAUGCCUGGAGGAUGACAGUAGCUGUCUGCGAGCUGAGAUCCAGGAGCUGAAAACCGACUUUAGACCCCUCACAUAAGUGAUCCAUCGUGCUCAACACAUGCUCGGCCUGGAUCCCUGCCUUUGAUCUGCAUAAUAUGCCUCCUCCACCUCUUCAUCUCCCUUCUCCGUUUAUCACAUCAUGUGUGAAUGCAGAACAUCAGUGAAAUGUUGUAGAAGGUUCGCCAUAGUCUCCUGUGUACAACGUGUCCAUGCCAAGAUCCUGCUGCUGUACCUUUAGCCGUGACAAGUCGGCCUGUGCGCCAGCUGUGCCCAUGGGGCAUCAUCGGUCGUAACAAGAGUCGGUGUGCCCGCUUCAGUGCAACCCCAUUGUGGUGUUGGAGGAUAAUAACACUCUGCUUCCUUUUGUCAGUGUGUUUUGCUGGAUGAUAAACACGGGAGGAAGGACCGGCAGAGGAGCUCAGGCUCAAAGAGGUGAGUUUGUGAAAUCACAGCACAGAAGAAGGUGCAGUUGCCUGGUGUG
Molecule: long non-coding RNA, 579 nt
Organism: Sinocyclocheilus rhinocerous
Lineage: Eukaryota; Metazoa; Chordata; Actinopteri; Cypriniformes; Cyprinidae
Exons: 3
Source: RefSeq, a predicted model, not a curated record